GUUUUUUAAUUUAUAAUUUGAGCCUAAAAGUAAUAUCAAAAUCUAAUAGUAAUUUCGAUAGGCUUCUUUUGGAUAGGUAUGAAUUUUAAAUAAUGAGGCAUUUAAAUUAGAUAUUAUGUUAAAAUUUUAUAAUUUUUCACGUGAAACACAAAUUCAAAUCCUCAAUUAUUUUAAAUGCAUCCCUGUCCAUACGAUGCCAAGCUUACAUGUGAUAAGUGAAACGCAUCCACUUUGACCUCUUAAGUCUGAACACGGUGCCGACGGCUCUUCAUGGCCUUCCCUCAACUAUUUAGUUGGCUACUGGUUAGUUUGAAAUGGUUACAAGUCACUUUGGAUGGAGAGAGUUCAGAUUGAAGAAUCAAGAUUUGCAAUCUCUAUUGGCAAACUUAUUUGUUUAUGGCAAAUUUAAGGACUAAAUUGAGAUUUUUCUUAUCAAACAUAUAGUACCCAACCUCGUUUCUUGCAGUCCAUCCAAAAAGAGGGACAUAAAUGGAUUGGUUGAGUGGUAACUUGAUUUCCAAUCUUUUUGAAAUCCAUCUUACACUCUAGUUCCAAUAAUUGUCAAGUACAUGUAAGACAUAAAUAAAUUGCACGUAUCUUUGCAUUUA
Molecule: long non-coding RNA, 608 nt
Organism: Hevea brasiliensis (rubber tree)
Lineage: Eukaryota; Viridiplantae; Streptophyta; Magnoliopsida; Malpighiales; Euphorbiaceae
Exons: 2
Source: RefSeq, a predicted model, not a curated record